Molecule: long non-coding RNA, 3926 nt
Organism: Mustela erminea (ermine)
Lineage: Eukaryota; Metazoa; Chordata; Mammalia; Carnivora; Mustelidae
Exons: 3
Source: RefSeq, a predicted model, not a curated record
UAACAAUAGUCGGAGGCUAAGGGCUGUUCUUGGCUCCAUGGGGUUUCUGCAGGAACUUCAAUACGACAGGAAGAUCAACCAAGCAAAGAACCUAGAAGGGAAGAAAGAAAAAGUUUCCUUCCCCUCCAGUUUUGGUGCCCAGUGGGGGGGCACUUCACGGCCUGGGCAUGGCUCGUUCUGCUGCUGUGGCCACUGAGAAGUCCCAGGACCCCAGAUGAGAGCAGGCAGAAGACAUGCCUCUUUGAAAUACCUCACUGCCUGGACAAUAUAGGCCUAACCUUGGGAAGCCGCCUGCCUCACUGCUCCUGAAAUGAGUCACAACGUUCUCAGGACUGAGACUGGUUCAGUAAGAGACAGAAAAAUCCACUACUGAGCUCCUAACCUGACCCUGCUCUCCAUAGACGUUAGCUCAGGUUUUCACAGGCAAGACGUCCAGGGAAGUUUCUGAGGAGGGAACUGAUGGGCUUCAGGGAGGGCUGACCCCACAUAGGCCACUUUGAUACAUUGAUAAUUUUGAAUUUAAGUUACUCAAGAAACAGUGCGUGAAGGACACUCUGACCCUCUUUCGUUCCCCUGAAAGUAGGAAAUAAAUCUCCCCAGUGAAAGGUACCUUCCUUGUACGAGGAGGUAAAGAGACAGGCCUAUCACCAGGGAUAUGGAAUUCAGGGCUAAAAAAGUGAUAAAAACCUACUGUCUUCCUUCACUAAUUUACUACCGCAAACUUCGCUGUCUUGUCAAUUCUUUUUCUUGUCACAAGUUCACUGUUUCUUUGUCUGUAAGGUCUAAAACUGUCCACUUGGGUCACUUCCCGGAGUCUCGUAUUUCUGUGAGCUCUCCACAUCGAAAAUUAACAUUUACUUUCUUGCCCCCUCCUGUUGAUCUGUUUUGCGUCAAAUGAAUUAUUAGACCAAAGAACCUAGAAGGGAAGAAAGGAAGUUUUCCUCCCCUACACGGGGUCUCCUGAUCAGGAUUUACUCUUCUCGACAUUCAGAUAAGCUCUCCCGGGUGCGCCUGGCACUGACUGGGCUCAGCCCCCCAGGACGUGGUGCCGCGGGAGAGAGGCCACGCUCCCUGGCGUCAGACUUGGUCUUUGUAAUGACUUGGGCUUCGAGUUUGCUGUAGAUACUAUCUUAAAAAGAUGUUCUCACUCAACACAAAAUCAAGUAUGACAGGAAAAGCCUGGGGCAUUAGGGGUGACCAGCACCCACUGCAGAGAGAGGACAGGAAGGAGGGCGGGGUGGGCGCCACAGGGGCGGUGGGGGGCAGGGCAGAAAGGCAGGGAGGCCUCCUGCAGGGUUUUGCUGGCUUCCCAGGCGGCUGUAUCCCUCUGAGCUGUCAAUCUUGGCUCCUUUCUGACCACUAAUUUCCCCUUAAAGAGUUGUUUCCCCCACGGCUCCCCCUCUGCCUUUCUUGAAGGGCCCUUUAAAGCAGGCCCUAAGUUAAAUAAACACACAAGGGAGACAAGCCAGGGCAGUCCCAUGUGAAGGAUGCAGGCAGGAAGGUCAGGGAGGCCAGGGUCGUAGGCAUGGGUGUGUAUGGGUGUGUGAGGGUGUGGAUGUGUACAUUUGUGUGUGUGUGAAUGUGUUGGAUGUGUGUGUGUUUGUGCGUGUAUGUACAUGCGUGGGGAUUGGUGCUGGGUACCCCGUAGCCCUUUUGCCUCCUUCCCCUCUCUUCUGUUUCCUGGGCCUCCCAUGAGUCUCUUGGGCAACCGCCAUCUUCCCAGAUAGCUGUGCCGACGCUCAUCUUCAACUCACUCGAUUUUAACCCGCGCCUGCCCUCCCUCCCCCCCUUUUCCACGCCUUCCCUUCCUUUGUUUACUUUUCCAGUGGAAUAGAACUUCCUAAGAUUUUAAAAAGUGAACAUGCGGCUACAUGUAGGAAAGGACAACAGGAAGGGAAUGGGCCGUGCUCUGAGCUCAGCUCUCCACACUUUAUGUGGGUUACAGGGCUAACUGUGGUGACCCUAUGGGCGGCUGGGAAGAUGUGAUGGGAUAACACGCAUAGAACAUUCAGAGCAGGGCCUGGCACGCGGUUGACAUUCAGGAUUACUGAGCACUCCCGUUAUUGCAGGAUUUCCCGUCAGCAGCUCGGUGGCCACCGUCGCAGGUCCCACUCUGGAUCCACAGACCCGUCUGCCUCACAGUAUAGAAAUGCCGUUUUCUGUGUCGUCAGUUUUUUGCUUACCUGACUUGGAAAUGGCUGGACUACAUACAUGAUUUUCAUGAGAUCCCUAAGCCUAAUGGAGAACAGAGAGACUUCUAGAAAGAUCUGGAGCCUAAGAGUUGGCCCUACCUACCGUUGGGACAAGGCCCCUCAAAAGGAGAUAGGAGAACUGCCCUUGGCUUUUGUGAGAACUUCGUGGCUGGGGAAAUCCAUUUCUCUUUCUGGGUUUCAGUUCUUAAGCAACAGAACAGGGACAAUGAACCACGGCACAGUAUUUUGUGAGGGCUAGCGAGCCGAUGUCUGUGACAGCCCUGGAAAGUCUAAAGCUAGACAGAUGGGGGCUGCGCUGGCAAAGCUAUUCUUUCUCACCCAAGGAAAGAGCCCUGGGGAAAGUCACAGUAAUUUGGAGCUGGACUGAGCUUGACAUUUAUAGUUCAAGUGAGGCAUUUUACACAUGAGAAAACAGGACGGGGAGGAGGGGGUGCCUCGGCCGUCCCCACGCAGAGCAGACACCAGGGUCGCCACACAGGCUCCUCUCACUAGACCAUGUGGAAGAUCACCCAGGGAGUCCAGGUGUGGGUCUGGUCCCACUGACAGAUUUGCCAUGGGCAGUUCUCAAGGCCCCUGUUGGUACUGACAGGUGCACACGCUCAGGUAACUGCCACGACUGAGGCAUAGAACCCUUUUGUCACUGCACGAGAAUUCCCUCAUGCCCCUUGGCCGUCAGCCCACUCUCCAUCCCCUCUAGCAACAUCGCUCUGGGUUUUGCCCCUCUAUCAUUCUGCCUUUUUUCAGAUCAUCCUACAUCUUCGUCCAUCAUCAGAGCUCUUACAACAAAUAUACCAUAAACCGAGUAGUUUAAGCAGAACAGAAUUCGUUUGGUCCAGUUCAAGACCUGGAAGUACUAGGAGAUUCGGCCUCCCGGGAAAGCCUGCUUCCUGGUGCUUCUCGCCGAGUCCUUGCAUGACCCAAGGGGCAAGGGCCCGAAUCCCCUUCAUGCCAACGCCCCCCGCUCCAAAUGCCACCACACUGGGGGUUCUGGUUUAACACAUAAAUUUCGGGGACACAAACUUGCCGUCUAUGGCAUCCUAUACAUGGAAAAUUGAGCGUGCGGCCUUCUGAAUCUGGAGUUGUCACUCGGACUGAUGCACUGGACCAUUCAUCAGUAACUGUCUCAUGGAUCAGAGGGGGGCAUUUUAUAUUAGCAAAGUGUUCAUGCAUGGAAGCAUUACAGACUGUUUAACCACACACCGACUAACGCACAUGCAGGCGAUUGCAAGUCUUUGACUAUCAAAAUAAGGCUGCUACGAAAAGUCACCUACUCACACCUUCCCCUAUCCCUUCCUCCCCGGGAAAAUCCCUAAAAGUGAAAUCCUGCAUCGUUGGCAAGUAUAUGGUAGGUAACUUUAGAAGGAACUGCCAACCUGUUUUUCCUUGCCAGCAACGUAGGAGAGUGCUACUUGCUCCGAAUUCUUACCGGCACCUGGUCCUGACAGUCCUCUUAUUCGUUCCAUUGUCAGAGGUGUGAAGCCCUAUCUCAGGUGUGAAGUGGUUUUAAUAUUUGCCUGGUUACUGGUGACAUAGAGCAUCUUUUUGUAUGCUAAUUUGCCAUUUUUAUGCCCUCCUUGGUAAAGCGCCAGCUGAGAUCAUUUGUCCACUUUCUAAAAUUGGGCUUUCGUUUUCUUGAAUUUUAAGAAGUAUUUAGAUUUACUGGAUAUAAGUCCUUUAACGUGGCAAAUAUUUUUGUCCCUGUCUGUGCCUUAC